Molecule: ribosomal RNA, 450 nt
Filed under: uncultured bacterium
Lineage: Bacteria
Description: partial 16S ribosomal RNA
Rfam family: Bacterial small subunit ribosomal RNA
Source: RNAcentral
GUGGGGAAUUUUGGACAAUGGGCGAAAGCCUGAUCCAGCCAUUCCGCGUGCAGGAUGAAGGCCCUCGGGUUGUAAACUGCUUUUGUACAGAACGAAAAAGCUCCGGCUAAUACCUGGAGUCCAUGACGGUACUGUAAGAAUAAGCACCGGCUAACUACGUGCCAGCAGCCGCGGUAAUACGUAGGGUGCAAGCGUUAAUCGGAAUUACUGGGCGUAAAGCGUGCGCAGGCGGUUUUGUAAGACAGAGGUGAAAUCCCCGGGCUCAACCUGGGAACUGCCUUUGUGACUGCAAGGCUGGAGUGCGGCAGAGGGGGAUGGAAUUCCGCGUGUAGCAGUGAAAUGCGUAGAUAUGCGGAGGAACACCGAUGGCGAAGGCAAUCCCCUGGGCCUGCACUGACGCUCAUGCACGAAAGCGUGGGGAGCAAACAGGAUUAGAAACCCGUGUAGUCC